Non-coding RNA from Cucurbita pepo subsp. pepo (vegetable marrow), 964 nucleotides. The record is from RefSeq and is a predicted model, not a curated record. Lineage: Eukaryota; Viridiplantae; Streptophyta; Magnoliopsida; Cucurbitales; Cucurbitaceae.
AUAUAAUUCUAUCUUAAAUGGUUCAAGUAAAUUUAGUUGUGGAUGGAUGAUUAUUUGACGAUCGAAGGCGUUUACAAAGCGUACCUAAGACGAACGAUUUCUUCGAGCGAGUGAAAGAAAGAUGAUUAAGGAAGAUCUUCAAAACCCAGUUGAAGGAGCUAAACAUGAAGUACCUUUUUCAAGCUUGGAAGAAAUGGUGUUUCUCACUCUCUUUUCUCUUCUAACUUUUUCGUUUUUAAGCUUUCGACUCUUGUUUUUAUGUUGAUUCUGUUUCUGUGUGUCUCUAAUUUUUGCUUGAAUUUCAUUUUCUUUGGUAAAUUAUACUCUGAAAUUUGCUUUCUGCUGAGUUCUUAGUUCUAGGGUUCUUCGAUGUAAUCGCUCUUUGCCGUUGCAGGGCUUUAUGAUUAGGAUUUUCCCUUAUUUAGGAUGCAUUUAGAUUUGAAAUUUGCUGCUUGUGGUGAUGGUUUCUGCCUUUCGGAGUGUUUUCUGUCGGUAUCUUUGGUUCCGCCGCUACUCCUCUGCAUCACAGGGGAGGAGUAAUGGCAAUAAUGCUUCAGGCCGUGAUUUCAGGUACAAGAUUCAGAUGUUCAUGGAGAAAGAAGUCUGAUUAUGUAAUAAGGAAUGAAGACGAGGGAUUGAUAGUUUCAAACUUAAGCUUUGGCCCGUAGAUUGAUCCUAGAACGAGGGUCCCAGUCAGCUUUGCCAUAUGAACGUUUCGAGUAUUAUGAUGUAGAUACGAACACAAUCCUAGUUACAUCGUUCCACUGAGUUUGAGAUGAAGAUGUACAAGACCAAGGACAACAUCUUUAUUAGUAUGUGAAAGCAUUGUUUUGAGCUUGAUUUGUUUUAAGAAUAUUGUGUUUCCAUGAAUGUAAGGAGAUUUGAUAGGUUGAACUUUCUCACCAACUCUUAGCUUCCACGAAAUGGGAAAAACCUAAAAGAAAGAAAGAGGAGACUUAGGGAA